AGAGUGAAGUACUUGUCGAGAAGCCAUCGAGUGUUUCCAAAACACAGUGAGCCGAGGGGAGCUGCACUUCUUGAUGAUUGACCAUGUAACCCAGGAGAGAUUCGUGGAUGAGGUCACUUUGUCCAGUGAUGCUCCAGGAUGGUCACCCAGGAACUUUUCAUCAGCUAGCCAAGAAACCAGUGGAAUUGCUGAGCGGUGAGUGAAGCUGGCUGUGCUGUGGCUCCCACAGCUCAGAUCUGAGCUGGGCUGUGCCCUGGAAAGCCAGGGCAGAGGGUCCCCCGGGAGGCCCUGGAACAGGAGUUCAGGCAGGGACUAGAUAGGCCCCCAGCAGUGCUCAGAGUGGGACAGAGGAGAACACACAGAGAGGACUGCACUCAGGACAGCGCACAUUCAAGGGGAGUCUGGAGUCAGUGAGGGGCAGCUGGUAGGGGAGGCAGCAGGCGAGCUGGGCUUCCACACACAGCUACACUUUUACAAGGUGAGGAAGGGGGGAAAAGGCAUUCCAGGGGAAGGGAGUAGCAUAAGCAAAGGCCUGGAGGCUGAGGUGUGACCAGAAGCAAGGAGAGGCAUGGGCUGGCUCAGUCCUUACAGCCUGCGACUCUCCAUUGUGAGUUCAAGCUCCAUGUUGGGCCUGGAGCCUACUUCAAAUAAAAAUUAAAAAAGAAAAAAAGAAAAGAAGAAG
This 682-nucleotide long non-coding RNA is filed under the name Ursus maritimus (polar bear). RNAcentral's name for it is "lncRNA (ENSUMAG00000016781.1)". Lineage: Eukaryota; Metazoa; Chordata; Mammalia; Carnivora; Ursidae. The record is from RNAcentral.